RNAcentral lists this ribosomal RNA (336 nucleotides) under uncultured Bacillota bacterium. Its description in RNAcentral is "bacterial SSU rRNA". It matches the Rfam family "Bacterial small subunit ribosomal RNA", at positions 28 to 351 of the family's 1533-position model. The record is from RNAcentral. Lineage: Bacteria; Bacillati; Bacillota.
GAUGAACGCUGGCGGCGUGCCUAACACAUGCAAGUCGAGCGGAGAUUUCAAGAAGUACUUGUACGGAAAGAGAUCUUAGCGGCGGACGGGUGAGUAACACGUGAGCAAUCUGCCUUCUGCAGGGGAAUAACAUUGUGAAAACAGUGCUAAUACCGCAUGACAUCCGACUGGGGCAUCCCGGACGGAUCAAAGGAGAAAUCCGGCAGAAGAUGAGCUCGCGUCCGAUUAGCUAGUUGGUGAGGUAAUGGCUCACCAAGGCGACGAUCGGUAGCCGAACUGAGAGGUUGAUCGGCCACAUUGGGACUGAGACACGGCCCAGACUCCUACGGGUGGCAG